GGCAUGCAUCCGGGUGGCCGCCCAUCCCUGACCACACGUGGAAAACAGAUGAUGCAGCACUUGCGGUUUGUUCGACGUCUGGCUCAUCCUCCAGGCUGCAAGGCGCCUAAACAAUAAGACGUUUGCUCCGGUUGUUUUCCAGAAAGCUGGAGUCAGCUGUGUCUAGUUCAGCUGCGCAAGAGUCAGCGGUGUCCAGUUUGAGCUGAGCUGGUUGAGACUGGCUGGGACCACUGACCUUUCAACUGAGUGUGCGAACAUGCAAAGGCCUGUUGCUGAGCUAUGCCUGCACAAAGCGACGACCGGGACACCCUUUUCUAUCACCUUUCCCCACGGUCCCGUGUCUCAGACGACCUGCUUCUUCAGUCUUCAUCCCAUAAACACAUAAGCCCCUUGCCUGAGGGGAACCGGAUUUGGGGUUUGUUUUCCCAUCUCCUUGCUUGGUGGCCCUGCUGAUGGAUCCUCUCUUUGCUGCAGACCUUGGUGUCUCAGUGUUUUGGGUUGCGGUGCACCCAGACAGAUGCCAGCAUCUGCCCUUGCUAGUCUGUUCCUGCAACAAAGAAAGUGACUGGAAAGUCGGGAGCUCCUGCCCUGGAGGACCUGGCUGUGUUAGCGCUGGAGCAUGGCUGCUGAAAUAGUUUCCACUUGUGGAAAAGAUCGCCUACACGCCCCUACCCCGCAGGCACGCAGCACGUCAGGUUCCAGGGACUCUGCCCAGUUGCUUAGACGCGGUCCUGGAGUGUGUACUGACACGCCUGUGGGUGAGAAGCUGAGAGCUGAGCAUCACACCUGGAGAUGGAGCCUGGCGGGAAGACGAGCUCAUGUUGGCAAAGCUGCAUGCUGGCAGAUAACAGCCUCUUUUCCAGCCCUGGGGCAGUUUCCAGCUUCUCCAGUCACGUUCAACCCACAGCUGUAGCCGGAGAAGCCAGAGGGGAGAGAGCUACUCCAACCAUGGGAGGAAGCCUGCUGCUUCCGGAUCCCAUCAUAGAGCCCCGCUGGGGAGGGGCCAGAGUGGGAGCCCCCCACGGUCCUCCAUCCUCGAGCGCAGAGGAGAUGGGAGAGAGGCAGCGGUCUCUGCCUGGGGCUGGUCCACCCUAGCUCAGCUGAAACACAGGCUUCUCCAGCCCCGAGUCCAUGGGGUUGGACAGAAGGCAGUUUGGGGCCCCUCCCACCCAGACUGUGGGGCAGGCCCAGGACGCAUGCCUGUCGUAGAUGCUGGCCCUUCAGGAGUGGCUGCCCUGGGUAGGUUGGGGCUGGGAUGAAAGCCUGAGGCCUGGUCUCUGGGUCACUGUGUUGGGUAACUGCUGGCCAUGUUUGUAGAGCAUGCACACUCUUGUGUUCUGAUCUCUGCAGACCGUCCUUGAAGGAUGUGUGCUCCUGGGUCUGGGUAAUGUUUUUCCUUUCUCUUAAAAGAUAGACUUCUAAGAGCAGCUUUAGGUUCACAGCUAAACUAGGUGGAAAGUGUGACAUUUCAAUAUUCCUCCUCCCUCACACCCGUGGCUUCCCCGUCAUCAUCUCCACCGGUUGGUACUUGUGUUACAACUGAUGACCCCACAUGGACAUGUCAUUAUGACCCAGAGUCCACAGUUGACAUCAGGGGUCACUGUAGGUGGUGUGUGUCCUGUGGGUUUGGCCAAACAAAUAAUGACACGUAUAUUAUACAUCAAUACAGUAUCAUACAGAGAAGUUUCACUGCCCUAAAAACUCUCUGUUCUCCACCUGUUCAUCCCUCCCUCGCCACAAUCCCUCAAAAUCAGACCUUUUUAUCCUUGGCAUAUCUUGCCUUUUCCGUGACAUCAAACUAGUUGCAAUCAUAUAGCGUGUAGCCUUUGUUUCCUCCAUGUCUUCAUGACUUGACAGCUCGCUUAUUUUAGCAUGUAAUAAUAUUCCCAUCUGGAUGCCCUGUAGUUCAUUUAUCCAUCACCUACUGAAGGACACUUUGGUUGUUUUCAAGCUUUGGCAAUUAUGAAUAAAGUCACUGUGAAAAAGCACCCAUGUGCAAGUUUUUGUAUGGACAUGAGCGUCUUAAGAGGCAGGGAGGUGGUUUACUAUCUGGUCCUUGCUGGAAGCUUCCCUUGUAGCUCAGUUGGUAAAGAAUCUGCCUGCCAAUGCAGGAGACCAGUGUUUGAUCCCUGGGUUGGGAAGAUUCCCUGGAGAAGGAAAUGGCAACCCACUCCCGUAUUCUUGCCUGGAGAAUCCCAUGGACAGAGAAGCCUGGCAGGCUACAUUCCAUGGAGUCACAACAGUCGGACAUGGCUUAGUGACUAAACCACCUUGCUGGAAGGUCUCAGGGUCGGGCUGCGUGGAGAAGCUUCCCUGGGGGACCUGGAAACACCUGGUUUCUCACUGGCUUAGCUCCAGGGGGAACCCAUGUCCGUGUGUCUGGGAAAGAGGGCAGGCGAAGGAAGCCACUGAUGGAGAGGGAAAGGAAAGGCAAACGGGAAGAAAAAGAGAGGAAAAGGCUGUGUGGAUUAAACCAGAAUCCAGAUUUUUCUGAUCCUGUUGCCAAACGGUAACAUAGGACACGGAUGUCGAGUCGUUGAGGCAGGUUUGUGUGUCUCUGAGAGGGUAGAGAGUAGACCAUCCGUAUUUGAUGAACAUUCUGCCUUUAUUAUGAAAAGUGAAGCCUGGGGGUUCAGAGGGGGUUAAGAGAUUAAGGACUUGGAUACAAUCCUGGAAUUUCAUUCUUUAUAACUUUUGCACUUUUAAUGAAAAAUUUCAAACAUCUCUUCAAAGAGAUAUGCAGAGUAUAA
Bos taurus (domestic cattle) is the source of this 2750-nucleotide long non-coding RNA. NCBI's taxonomy places the organism in Eukaryota, Metazoa, Chordata, Mammalia, Artiodactyla, Bovidae. The record is from Ensembl.